UCCCUGGAAGACUAGUGGUUAGGCCUCGGCGCUCUCACCGCCGCACCCCGGGUUCAAUUCCCAGACAGGGAA
This 72-nucleotide transfer RNA is filed under the name Pangasianodon gigas (Mekong giant catfish). Its description in RNAcentral is "tRNA-Glu". It matches the Rfam family "tRNA". Rfam says of the family: Transfer RNA (tRNA) molecules are approximately 80 nucleotides in length. The record is from RNAcentral. Lineage: Eukaryota; Metazoa; Chordata; Actinopteri; Siluriformes; Pangasiidae.